This 514-nucleotide ribosomal RNA is filed under the name uncultured fungus. Its description in RNAcentral is "eukaryotic LSU rRNA". The stretch from base 170 to 323 matches the Rfam family "5.8S ribosomal RNA". Lineage: Eukaryota; Fungi. The record is from RNAcentral.
ACAGAGUUCAUGCCCUUACGGGUAGAUCUCCCACUCUAUGUUAUUAUUACUUUGUUGCUUUGGCGGGCCGUCAGGCUCACGCCCGGCUACCGGCCCCGGCUGGUAAGCGCCCGCCAGAGGACCCAAAACCCUGAUUAUUAGUGUCGUCUGAGUACUAUAUAAUAGUUAAAACUUUCAACAACGGAUCACUUGGUUCUGGCAUCGAUGAAGAACGCAGCGAAAUGCGAUAAGUAAUGUGAAUUGCAGAAUUCAGUGAAUCAUCGAAUCUUUGAACGCACAUUGCGCCCCUUGGUAUUCCGAGGGGCAUGCCUGUUCGAGCGUCAUUACAACCCUCAAGCCUGGCUUGGUAUUGGGCUUCGCCACUCACCUGGCGGGCCUUAAAAUCAGUGGCGGUGCCGUCGAGGCCCUGAGCGCAGUAAAUAUCCUCGCUAUAGGGACCCGGCGGUUGCUGGCCAUCAACCCCCAACUUUCUAAGUUUGACCUCGGAUCAGGUAGGGAUACCCGCUGAACUUAA